ACCGUGCAAAGGUAGCAUAAUCAUUAGUUUUUUAAUUGAAAGCUGGUAUGAAUGGUUGGACGAGAAAAUAACUGUCUCAAUUUAAUUUAAUUAGAAUUUUAUUUUUAAGUUAAAAAGCUUAAAUAAUUUUAAAAGACGAGAAGACCCUAUAGAGUUUUAUAUUUUCAUAUUUAUAAAUGUUUAGGAAUUAAUUUAUAUAUAAGUAUACAAGUAUUUUGUUGGGGUGACAGAAAAAUUCAAGGAACUUUUUUUUUUAUUAUUACAUUAAUUUAUGAUUUUAUGAUCCACUAUAUAGUGACUAUAAGAUUAAAUUACCUUAGGGAUAACAGCGUAAUUUUUUUUGAGAGUUCUAAUCGAAAAAAGAGUUU
Molecule: ribosomal RNA, 368 nt
Filed under: Sophrops heydeni
Lineage: Eukaryota; Metazoa; Arthropoda; Insecta; Coleoptera; Scarabaeidae
Description: partial 16S ribosomal RNA
Source: RNAcentral